CCAUUCCUUGUUGGCGUGUCGUAUGUUGUCGUGGGAUUCAGGAAUGAUGCUGGUGUACUUAUACGAACUGAGAGACUAAGAACUAAAGAUAUUACACAAAAAGUGAAAGCAAAGAACUACUGGCAGGGUGGUGUCUGCUUGGCCUUUGCUGACGAGGUUUUAUGCUGGCUGUAUGGCACUGUCAAAGAAAAUGAAGACUAUGUUCUGCAAUUUGCACACCCGUUCCAUCGAUUGGAACUAUUAAAAGCCCAGUCUCCAUGCCCCGAGGCAAUAACUCUGCAUGUGGAACAGCUCACCGGUGCAACAAACUAGAUCUGUUCCCUAGCAAAGCUUUGGCGCUGAUGUUUCGCUAAACGGACAGCUUUGAGGGACCUUAUGUAACAGCGUCGCGUCUUAGAAUGGUUCGAGCUAUAGUUCGAGGGGCUGAUGCGGAUGCAUAAGAGACUGACGGUGUCAUGCUAUAUGUUCGGUCGGUAACUGGAGGCAGUACGGUCACGGUUUUCUCUUUGAGUGUCCAAAGAGAUUUUGAAGCCAUCGAACACUGUAUUUCUUCUGUAAUACCAAGUUAUAAAUUAGGGAAGUGCAGAGUUACACUGCCAUUGUAACGGUUCAUCGCUCAAGGCACCAACGAUGUGUAACUUCUGUACCAAUGAUGAUAUUGAAUUUUAAAGACGGAUGCUGCCAUGCCAUGGUAACAUGCCAAGAACACCCCUUGGAGUUAUGUAACUAGCGGUAUAUGCUAAGAGUUUCUUUUCGGA
Long non-coding RNA from Triticum dicoccoides, 758 nucleotides. RefSeq lists it as uncharacterized. The record is from RefSeq and is a predicted model, not a curated record. The transcript is spliced from 4 exons. Lineage: Eukaryota; Viridiplantae; Streptophyta; Magnoliopsida; Poales; Poaceae.